GACAGAAGCCCAGUGGAGUGAGAAAGAGCUUUGUGCUGGUUGCUGGGACUCCAUCAGGACAAGGCCCUGAGGUAUUUGCAAGUAAAAAAAAAACAGUCCGGGGUAUUGUUACGUGGAGAAACAUGUUUUGUCGGCCUUACUUUCUAACAUCAUGAAGAACCUAAAAUCUUCAGUGGUGCUUCUCACAUGAGGGUCCAAAAGCAGCAGAUAACUAUAGGUCUGAUCCAAAGGCUACGGAAGUCAAAAGAAAUUUCCACUGACUUCAACUCAGGUCUUAAAUACAUAUAGCUCCACUGAAACACAGCCAUCUCUAGCAUAAAGGAGUGGACCACAUCCAGCCUGACUGAAUUGGCCUUCAACACUGGUUUUCCACUUGUAAGAAAGAAGACACCUACUAUCAGUUAUUAUUCUGUGUCAAAGCAUUGACUGCCUUUGAAGUAAAAGGAUAGCACAUCUCAAAUUCUUUGGGCAUGACCCUGGAAGUUGGUGAGAACCAGCAGCACCCAUUGUUGGAGGCAUCAGGGGCUCACAGGACCAGGCCCGUUUUGCACAUGUUCUAUUGAAAAACUGAUAUGAACUUGGGGAAAGUAAUUUGUGGCAUUUGAAGGACUGACACCUACCAGAGCUCUGUCUUGGAGUUACCUUUAGCAAACGUGUUAGCAUGCGGGACCUGAUGGCAGAAAUGGAAUGCAGUCUGAAGAGAGAGUCGGUGAGAGUAAUGCAGACACAUAACUUCAUAUCAGAGAUGGAAGUCUGCUUGAUUAAAGAUUUUUUGUCGAUAAUGCAGACUUAUUGCAGGAAGAGGUGCCAUGUGACGGUGCCUAAGAUGUUGCCAGUUGCUGAGACUUCUAAAAUGUCAUUUCUAAAUAAAAGUUUGACCUUCACAA
Long non-coding RNA from Mauremys reevesii (Reeves's turtle), 887 nucleotides. RefSeq lists it as uncharacterized. NCBI's taxonomy places the organism in Eukaryota, Metazoa, Chordata, Testudines, Geoemydidae. The record is from RefSeq and is a predicted model, not a curated record. The transcript has 8 exons.